UAGCUAGUAGCUAGCUGAGAUCUUACAAUUUGAAAUUCAAUACAUUCUUUUGUUACUUCAUAAAGAAACGGAGGAUGUUCUGAGUAUAGGAGGCCAACUCAUGUGAUAGUGGUUGCGGAGCCAUAGCCAGUCAAGAGGCUUGUUCUUGGUGAAGUUCACCAUGUGGGCCCAGGACAAGGACUGGGCUGGCGUGGAAAAGAUUCCAAGAGUCUCAAGGUUAGAGAAGUCGCCUAGUCCACCUCCCCUCUCUGCUUCUCACAGAAGGGUCUGCUGAACACUCUGGUGACAGAGAACUCACCCAACAUGUUCCAUGGCAGAGGCUUUUCAUUAGAUCAAGGUGACAUCUGUUUUACUGGAGCUUCCAACCACGUGUCCCAAUACUGCCCUUAGUCACAGGCAUCCAGGUCCUCUCUCUCAGGACAGCACUUUGAAUAAAUGAGGACAGCUCCCAUCCCCCUUUCUCCCAGUUGACUUUCCAGAAACAUCUCAUAUUGUUGUUGGCUUUCCACCAUUUUUCCUCUUCACUUCCUGGGCCUACUACUACACUGUGUGUCCUCCACUUGGUCUCUUCCUGAAAGCAACACUGUGCACAAUGUUCCUGGGGGCAGACUUAUUAAACCAAGUGGACCACUUCCUUCAUCUUAGGUGUCACAGCUCCAUCAAUGCAUCCUCAAAUCACAAUGAUUUUUCUGCACUUCACCCUACAGGUUCCUAUUUAACGUUACAUUGGCUAGGACAUUACUCAUUUACACACAGGCUCUGCUGAGCCCCAUCUUUGCCAAGACUCUGACUUCUGUUGUUUCAUUUAAAGAUGUAAGAACAGGGCCUCACAGUUCUUCCUAAGGAAUUUUACUUUGUGGCUGGGUGCGGUGGCUCACACCUGUAAUUCCAGCACUUUGGGAGGCCAAGUCAGGUGGAUGACUUGAGGUCAGGAGUUCGAGACCAGCCUGGCCAUCAUGAUGAAACCCCACCUCUACUAAAAAUACAAAAAUUAGCCGGGUGUGGUGGCAAGCACCUAUAUCCCAGCUACUUGGCAGGUUGAGGCAGGAGAAUCGCUUGAGCCCGGGAGGCAGAGGUUGCAGUGAGCCGAGAUCAUUGCACUCCAGCCUGGGCAACAGAGUGAGACUCCAUCUCAAACAAACAAACAAACAAAAAACAAAAACAACACAAAACAACAACAACAAAAACCAGAAAUUUUACUUUGCUACAUUCAGCCCAUAAUUUUUAGCAACCCAGAUCUUUCUGGAUCCUGGCUGUAUCUUCUCAGUGUGUUUCUUCUUCCUCCCAGUUUCCUGACCCCUGCAAAUAGGGCUGUAAAGAGGCUCUCUGAUGCUGCACCCCCUCCCUCAUUGCCACCAUGCAAAUCACAGAGGACCCCCACCAGGCCAGACUGGCUCACCUGCUUGAUGAAUGCACCAGCCCACUCUCCCAUCCGGGGAGGCCUGUCGGGCAUAAUGAUGUGGAACAUACUUGUUUUCUAUUCAGCUACGAAAGCAGGGUAUUAUCAAAUUUUAAAAGGCAUCGGCCAGGCACUGUGGCACAUACCUGUAAAACCAGGCACUUUGGGAGGCCAAAGUGGGUGGAUCGCUUGAGCCCAGGAGUUCAAGACCAGCCUGGGCAACAUGGCAAAACCCCGUCCCCUCUGCAAAACACACAAAAAUUAGCUGGGGAUGGUGGCACAGGCCUGUAGUCUCAGUUUCUCGGGAAGUUGAAGUGGAAGGAUCACUUGAGCCCGAGAGGCGGAGGUUGCAGUGAGCUGAAAUCCCACCACUGCACUCGGCCUGGCAGCCUGGGCAACAGAGAGAGACACUGCCUCAAAAAAAAUAAAUAAAAGGCAUCGAGAAAAGAAAGGGAGGAAGGGAGGAUUUUGACAAAAAAUUAUCAAUAGUAACAGUGGCGUCUGUGUAACAGGACUAUAGGUUUGGCUUUUUUAUUUAUUUAUUUAUUUAUUUUUUUGAUGGAAUCUUGCUCUGUCGCCCAGGCUGGAGUGCAGUGGUGCGAUCUCGGCUCACUGCAACCUCUGCCUCCCGGUUCAAGCGAUUCUCCUGCCUCAGCCUCCCAAGUAGCUGGGACUACAGGCGCCCGCCACCACGCUCGGCUAAUUUUUUGUAUUCUUAGUAGAGACGGGGUUUCACUGUGUUAGCCAGGAGGGUCUCGAUCUCCUGACCUCCUGAUCCGCCUGCCUCGGCCUCCCAAAGUGCUGAGAUUACAGGCGUGAGCCACCGCGCCUGGCCCCUUCAUGCGUUUUUACACGCUUCAUCCAACCAAUAGUUCAUGGAGGCCUUAGGUGUGUGUUUCCAAAUUUUCUAUGCUGAGUGUGUGUUCUUUGGAAAACCAGAAAAAAU
This 2345-nucleotide long non-coding RNA is filed under the name Homo sapiens (human). RNAcentral describes it as "HSALNT0309055". The record is from RNAcentral. Lineage: Eukaryota; Metazoa; Chordata; Mammalia; Primates; Hominidae.